RNAcentral lists this non-coding RNA (25 nucleotides) under Mus musculus (house mouse). The record is from RNAcentral. Lineage: Eukaryota; Metazoa; Chordata; Mammalia; Rodentia; Muridae.
UGACUACGUGUCCAAGGUUCCCUGU